UCAUCUGUUGCCAGCAUUUAAGGUGGGGACUCAGAUGAGACUGCCGGUGACAAACCGGAGGAAGUGGGGACGACGUCAAGUCAUCAUGGCCCUUAUGUCCUGGGCUACACACGUGCUACAAUGGCCGGUACAGAGUGAAGCGAAACCGCGAGGUGAAGCAAAACGCAGAAAGCCGGUCUCAGUACGGAUUGGAGUCUGAAACUCGACUUCAUGAAGUUGGAAUCGCUAGUAAUCGCGCAUCAGCAUGGCGCGGUGAAUACGUUCCCGGGCCUU
Molecule: ribosomal RNA, 273 nt
Filed under: uncultured Spirochaeta sp.
Lineage: Bacteria; Pseudomonadati; Spirochaetota; Spirochaetia; Spirochaetales; Spirochaetaceae
Description: partial 16S ribosomal RNA
Rfam family: Bacterial small subunit ribosomal RNA
Source: RNAcentral